UGGCGGCAUGCCUUCCAUGCAAGUCGAACGGUAACAGGUCUUCGGAUGCUGACGAGUGGCGAACGGGUGAGUAAUACAUCGGAACGUGCCCGAGAGUGGGGGAUAACGAAGCGAAAGCUUUGCUAAUACCGCAUACGAUCUCAGGAUGAAAGCAGGGGACCGCAAGGCCUUGCGCUCAGGAGCGGCCGAUGGCAGAUUAGGUAGUUGGUGGGAUAAAAGCUUACCAAGCCGACGAUCUGUAGCUGGUCUGAGAGGAUGAUCAGCCACACUGGGACUGAGACACGGCCCAGACUCCUACGGGAGGCAGCAGUGGGGAAUUUUGGACAAUGGGGGAAACCCUGAUCCAGCCAUGCCGCGUGCAAGAUGAAGGCCUUCGGGUUGUAAACUGCUUUUGUACGGAACGAAAAGGUUCUCUCUAAUACAGAGGGCUCACGACGGUACCGUAAGAAUAAGCACCGGCUAACUACGUGCCAGCAGCCGCGGUAAU
Molecule: ribosomal RNA, 487 nt
Filed under: uncultured Acidovorax sp.
Lineage: Bacteria; Pseudomonadati; Pseudomonadota; Betaproteobacteria; Burkholderiales; Comamonadaceae
Description: bacterial SSU rRNA
Rfam family: Bacterial small subunit ribosomal RNA
Source: RNAcentral